Long non-coding RNA from Brachypodium distachyon (stiff brome), 1229 nucleotides. RefSeq lists it as uncharacterized. The transcript has 4 exons. The record is from RefSeq and is a predicted model, not a curated record. Lineage: Eukaryota; Viridiplantae; Streptophyta; Magnoliopsida; Poales; Poaceae.
UAACCUGCCGCGGACUGAGCCAGGCUUCUCCCUUCAUCCCUCUCCUAGCCAUCAGCACCGCCGCAUCAACCAGUAGGGGGCUGAGUCGCCGGCGCCUCCGCAGCCUGCAAGAUAAGAAUCUAAUGUGCGAAUACAAGCACCGUGCGCAGCCGUCCGGCGAGCUACAGCAUGCUGCACGUAGCUAGCUAACACAUGAGCGUACAAACGUACAAAUACACGUGUGGAGGACAUGGACGCUCAGGGCCGCAAGACGCGCUGCAAGGUACUAGGCCGCCGCUGACUACCACUACGUGGGGAACGCCGCUGUGUAGUUUUGUCCAAGAAUCAAACCGUUAAAAGGUUGAGUAGGCCGGGGUCCACAUGUCAGAAUCCACCUCGGAUUAGCAGUUCGACUGCCCCCACGGGCCACGGCCACGGUUCGGCAUGGGAAAGGAUAAAAGAAGGGCAAAGCAGCCUAGCAGCGUGUCUGCUUUCGGAACGGUAUCAAACAACCCACCCGGCCGCCGCCGCGCCGCCACGGUUUCGGGAGAGCCGAGAGGGCCGGAGAGAUACGGCCGGGUUCCGCGCCGUCGGCGACCGCUCCUCAGCCAUUUCUCGGUAGAAAAGUGAGACCUCAAAUGGGCCACACUCCGAGGAGGUUGGUUUCUGCACUGUAUUCAAAGCCACCCUGGGUGCCUGUAGAAGUGAGGAUUGAUCAGAAAUGGAAACGAGCCAACGUUUUGAGACAAGCUGAUCGUUGCGGACUCUGUCUUGUGCGUGUGAGGGGGGGCGAUCCUGAGCCUAUCAUGGUGCCAUUGUCAACGAUCAGAAUACCUACGAACCCCCCGGUUGCAAAGCGAAGACUGGACACUCGCCCUCAGAUGCAGGUGAAGAAGCCCAGGGUUGAAAGUGACGUCGAAGAUGGUAACGAGUAGGCUGCUGAGUGUUCAUUCAUCGUUGUGUUGGCUUGAUUUGUUGUAAGAUGGAUAAUAAGUUACGGUAGCAAACACAUUCGUUUUCUUCACCAACGUAUUAAAGGAUGCUGUGAAGUGUGGUUUUGUCAGGAGAAAAUGUUUGAAAGUAUUGUAAAAGCAUGUACAAUGCAAGAUGUCUAGGUGGUUACUUAGAAAAAUUAACCGGUUUUUGUUAAGCACUGAUGCUUAUUUAGACUAAGCAGAUGCCUAACUUAGCACCUCCUCUGUACAAAUAAGCACCGGUGCUUAAAAAAGUGAUUGGUUUAUUUUCGUAAA